This is a non-coding RNA of Tursiops truncatus (common bottlenose dolphin), 154 nucleotides long. NCBI's taxonomy places the organism in Eukaryota, Metazoa, Chordata, Mammalia, Artiodactyla, Delphinidae. The record is from Rfam.
GAGGUCAAGUAGGGAUUUAUGUGGUUACUGUUCUCUUCCUAGGACACGGAGUGAAAAAUAGGAUUCCUUUUUAAGGCGCUGGUAUAAAUUCUUACUUGGGGGUUACAAAAAGCGUCACACGGGGAACGGGGUAAGAGCGGCUGGUAAGCCAUAG